AUGACCACAAUGGAUUCCAGGAUCAAGAGUCUUCAGGAGGUCUGGGACGAACGGUCUGUGAGGAAGAGAGCGAGAGAUGGUCAUGUGAUCAUCUGUGAUGAUGAUCUGACUUUGACGUCUCACUUACUGCGAAUGUGUUGUAGAGGUCAGAGGUCGUGGACUGGAGCUCAAGAGCUGUGUAUGUGUCUUCACUGGGAUCAGAGAUCUACAGAGACAGAGAAAGAACAUAGGAGCACGUGAUAUAAGUAAAAAUGUAAAGCACAAUAUUAAAUAUAGGAUUUUUUGGGGGGUAAAAAUGUACAGACUGAUACACAUCAAUAAAUCCUGAGCUCAUCAGGCUUUUAAAGCUGCAGUAGGGAACUUUUGUAAAAAUAUAUUUUUUACAUAUUUAUUAAAACUGUCAUUAUGUCCUGACAGUAGAAUAUGAGACAGAUAAUCUGUGAAAAAAUCAAGCUCCUCUGGCUCCUCCCAGUGCUCCUGUUGCCAUUUGCAGAAAGUCAUCCGCUCCCGGUAAAAAAUGGUUUAUGUUUGUUUUGUGUUCAGGUUUUGAGAACGGUUCAACAAGUUUAAACAAACAUUUACAUUUAAAUAAGUGUUUUUAUAUUUUUAUUUCUUAAAUCAUCUGUCACAUCACCUGAGGACGCAGCAGAUAGUUUCAGAAAUCACUAUCAAAUACGAGAGAAAUAUGAGUUUGUAAAGGGUUUUUUUGCUGGAUUCUGUUGAUAAAAGACUUUUACUUUGUAAUCAUUCUGUACAUUUACAGUCUGAAACAGACAACAGCUGAUCGAUUGAUUUUCUGCUUCUGUAAAGUUGUGUUUGAAUGUUUUAUCUGUUUCACUCCGUUAUCUUCAGUUUUAACACGCCUUUGUUUCCUGUUAAAAUCACAUUAACAACAUAUAGACGACAGCAUUAAAUAGAAAGUAUAAAUGUUUAAAGAUUUCUAAUAAUCACAUACAGCUGAUGCAUUUCCUUCUGUUACACCAAAUGAACUUAUAUAAUAUAAAAGUGCAUUUAUGAAGUCAAUGUAGUUUAUAAUUGAACACACAUUAUAAACCAUAUGAUGAUGAUGAUGAUGAUGAUGAAUAAUCCUCCAGAUAUCGCUGUGAUCACAAUCACAUUCCUAUCAGCACCAGGUUGAACUGAAAGAUGAAGAUCAAGAUAAUUAACAAACUGAUGAAUGAUGUGAAGAUACAGGAGUGUGUUAAUAAAAGCUUCACCAGUGACAGUAACAGCGUCUGAUCUCUGAGAUCCAAGUUUCUAAAUUGCCUUAUAGCAUGAUUUUCCACAGCCCCGACCUCUCGCAGUAUGCUAUCUGAACCAAUCAGAAUGCAGCGCGCCUAAAUGUAGUGUGACAAGAGCCACACUUAAGCUGAUUAAAUCUGUACUCACAGGAGACAGUGAGCUGAGCAGCAGGAGAGAUGUACGUGUGUCCAUGUAGAGCACAGCUGUAUCUGCCUGCAUCCUCUCUUCUGACUGACUG
Molecule: long non-coding RNA, 1480 nt
Filed under: Carassius auratus (goldfish)
Lineage: Eukaryota; Metazoa; Chordata; Actinopteri; Cypriniformes; Cyprinidae
Description: lncRNA (ENSCARG00000058191.1)
Source: RNAcentral